This 1978-nucleotide small RNA is filed under the name Caenorhabditis elegans. RNAcentral describes it as "Unclassified non-coding RNA Y53G8B.9". The record is from RNAcentral. Lineage: Eukaryota; Metazoa; Nematoda; Chromadorea; Rhabditida; Rhabditidae.
CUCGUCGAGCAAGUCUACGAAAAUUCCAUCCCAAAACUGUUAGUAUCCGAGGAGGAUCGUGGAAGAUGGUUUACAACAAUGGCUGGACUCAAUAUUUCCCAUGCGAUGAGUUUUCCGUUUGUUAUGAUGAGAUUCGGAGGAUAGAAGUAGGACAUUUUCCGGUUUUUUUUAAGAAAAUGGGGUUAAAAUCAAGUCUUGAGUGUAAAUUCUGAAAAAUUCGGGAAAUUUCCGUCAAUCUGACCCCAAUAUCGAUUUUUCAAAAAAAAAACGAAUUUUUGGCCUAGUGGCUAACGCAGAUGGCUGGGACGCACAAGACCGGGGUUCGAGUCCGCACUGGGCUCAAAAAUUUUUGUUUCGUUUUUGCGUACUGUAAUAAAAGCUUUAAAAAUUAUAAGUGCAGUUUCACCGGGUUUUUUUUUUUGAAAAAAAUUAAAUUUUCAAAAACAUUUUUUUGAAUUUUUUAAAGUAAUUUUCAAUUUCCAGAUUACUUCCUGAUUCCAUUCCUAACUUGUACACUCCUUAUCACUCUACCCAUCAACUACGCCCAGUAUACCAUCGGACAAUUCACCAACUGUCCGCCUAUCGUGCUCUACAGCCGGAUGGCUCCGAUUUUCACGGGAGUUGGAAUAAUGGUUACUAUCGUACAAUACAUUGUGUCAUCAUCUAUCCGAUUUGAUCAUCGAUUCAUUUCCAUGGCAUUUGAGUUUGCUUAUUCACUGUUGACAAAUCGAAAUGCGGUUUUCGCGGACUUUCUCCGAGUAGAGGCAUUUUAAGUGAGUUUUCACAAUAAACUAGUAAAGUUCUGUACAAAAACAGUAUUACAAAAAUUUUGGCCACAGCGCGGACUCGAACCCCGGUGUUGUGGGUCUCAUCCAUCUCUGUUAACCACUAGGCAUUUUUUCACUUUUUCUGAAAAGUCGAUAUGGGUGUCAAAUUGACCGGAAUUUCAGGGAAAAGCCGAAUUUUAAUAUAAAAAUCAUCAAAAAUCAAUAAUUUUCCAUAAAAUCUGAAGAUAUUAAUUUUUUGAUAAAAUUUUUCCAAACAAAAUACUUGAACAAACUUCAAAGUCCCGUUAAAUUCUUGUUAUCCUACACAAACACCUUAAAAUUGCUUAGAAAAAAAUUUUACCACAACGGGGAGUCGAACCCCGGUGUUGUGGGUCUCAGCCAUCUCUGCUAACCACUAGGCCAAGAAUUCAAAAUUCACAUUUUUUUAAAAAUCGAUAUGGGUGCCAAAUAGACGGAAAUUACAUGAAAAUUCAAAUUUUAAAGCAAUAUUUUUACAUUUUUUCAGACGGUUACGCGCCAAAAUGCAGAGAAAACGAGAUUUUCACAGAAAACCGGUGCCGACCGGCGGAUUUCCAUCGAUACGGGUACCUGCAUACAGAUAGGACAUAUCUUCAGGAAAAGCUGAGAUAUGAUCUCCAGUCGGACCCAAUAAUUGCCAAAUAUGCGACUGCUCAGUCGCCGCCGGUUAGGUUAGUUGUAAAAUUCGAAAAAUUCAAAAUUUUUGUGGAAUAUAAUCUUAGAAAGUGUUUAAAAAGUGAUAAAAUGGCAAUAUCAGUGCGAAAAAAGCCUAGAAAAAAAUUUGACCACUGCGGGGAUUCGAACCCCGGUGUUGUGGGUCUCAACCAUCUCUGUUAGCCACUAGGCCAAAAAUCAACUUUUUUGAAAAAUCGAUAUGGUAGUCAAAAAUUACGAAAAUUUCGUGAAAAGCUCGAAUUUUUCUAUAAAAACCUUUGAAAAUCAAUAUUUUUCGAGAAUUUUCAGAGUAUUCGACCCGGCCUACCAACACGCUCACUUCAUUUCCGCUGCAAUCGUUUUAUCGAUUUUUCUGUUUCUGUUGAGCCUACUUGGAGUCCGAAAGUUCAUCUGUGGAUAUCGAAACUACAUUUUCUUCGGAACAAUUCUCGUGUGUGCAGUUGUUCUGCAAAUUAUUAUCGGGGAAAACGAGCGACAGGCGACUAUGCUGAUUGUGG